This is an RNA transcript of Glycine soja, 2851 nucleotides long. It is a transcript of the gene named probable serine/threonine-protein kinase DDB_G0271682, with no coding region annotated. The transcript has 15 exons. The record is from RefSeq and is a predicted model, not a curated record. Lineage: Eukaryota; Viridiplantae; Streptophyta; Magnoliopsida; Fabales; Fabaceae.
CUUUCUGAUCAGCGAAUCCCGUAUGGUGCGAGUAGUAGUAGUAUUAUUUUUUUGGAGAGACGCAAUUGGUGGUAUCUUCCGGCAAUCCAAUAGCUGUGCGCACCGGAUAGCUUCCGCUGCCGACCACCGACACGUGGCCAAUAGCCUUUAGCCCCAACCUCGCACGCUGUCACAGUUCAAAAACAAUAAAAUAACCAAUAAACAAAUGGAGGCCAAGUGAGGAACCCGCUAAUAAACUAUUAAGUAGUAACUGUUACUAUAUGCCUAUGCGCAUUGCGCACCUCACCUCCAGAACUCCGGCGACUUCAAUGAGCAGCGGCGAGGAAAGAGAAACUGCGGCCUUCCGUGCUCUCGCGGAUCGCUGCCGGAGCCUCGAGGAGAAGCAGACCAAGCUCAGGGAGGAGUUCGAUGAGCUGUUGCAGAAGAACAACCUCACAGUCAGGGACGAUAACGAUCACGUUAGCGGUAACGGUAACAAUAACGAGGUCAUUGCUGAUUCAACAACCGACGGUUUUCUUUCCGGUUUCAUCUUCUCCGGAAAUCCCUACGCAACCGUGUUGAAAUGCAUGGGCCACGCCGUUCACGCUCUUAGAGUUCCCUCCUCCGAGAUCGUAUACUGGAAUCACUCAGCAGAAACUCUGUAUGGAUGGAAGGACUACGAAAUCAUUGGCCAAAGAGUAGCUAAAGUCCUAAUUGCUGAAGAAAAUUAUGCAUCUCUUCAAAAAAUUCUGGAAGGGUUGGUCACAGGCGUACCAUGGUCUGGGCAGUUUCCUUUCAAGAAGAGGUCUGGUGAAGUAUUUAUGGCAAUGGUAACAAAAACUCCUCUUUAUGAGGAUGGUGAGCUUGUUGGUGUUAUAGCUGUUUCAAGUGACGCAGCUAUAUUAAACACUACAAAUUCAGAAAAUCAAAGAACUUACCAAUCUGGUAACAAUGGCCAACCUGGAGUACAGAGGUUAAACUUAAAAAGAAUUCAGUGGCCUCCACGACCAAUGAUUGCAUCGAUGCCACAGAUUGCUUCAAGUGUUUCCGAUCUGGCAUCCAAGCUCCUCCCGGUGCUGAAUACUACUGAUGACACAGUUUCCCAGAAUACUUCAACAGAUGCAAAUGAUGAAAAACUAGAGAAGCGUGGCAUAUAUGAAACAAAACCUCAUUCCAGACAUCACCAUAAAGAAAACACAACUGUCACUGAGGCCUCUGAGAAGGAUGAGUCUACUACAGAAUUUGGUCAACCUUCUAAUAUUGCAGCCAGAGUCCUUGCCAAGCUUCAAAUUGGGGCACAUGCAAAAUGUGGGAAGGAUAAUGGAAAUAUCAAAAAUAAUUGUACAGCUGAUAAUUCAGGAAGCAAUAGAGUGAAUAAUGAAAAUGAUUUGCUUGGAGAUUUAUUGUCAUUAAAUCGACACCAGGACGUUGCUAAUGGAGCAGAUAAAGAAGAAAAUCUUCAUAAAUGUAAUUCUUUAUUUGCAAUGAAGAGAGCAGAUACAAAAGUUUGUGCAUGUAGAGCUUCCAAUGUUGUCAAAGAUAGUUCUGGUAAACCUUUCUCAGGGGAGUGGUGUGAAUGCUUUGGUUCUCCCAUUCCCCAUGACCCGUUGUUAAGAUUACGCUGUCAAUUUGAUCAGAAGAAAUUGGAGCCAGAGGCUAUGAAUAUGGCAACAGGAGAUGAAGUGCAAAAGCAGCAAGAAGGGUUGCAAUUGCCAAGUUCGAGGGAGAGUAUAGGCAGCCAUGAAAGUUCAUCAAGCAAAGGAGAUAAUGAGUCAAACUCUGUUUCAAAGUGUGAAAUCCAUUGGGAACAUCUUCAAUUAAGAGAAGAGAUCGGACAAGGUUCUUGUGCUGUUGUUUAUCAUGGAAUUUGGAAUGGAUCGGAUGUUGCAGUCAAGGUUUACUUCGGGAAUGAAUACACAGAGGAGACUUUACAAGACUACAGAAAAGAGAUUGAUAUAAUGAAGAGAUUGAGACACCCUAAUGUAUUGCUUUUCAUGGGAGCAGUAUAUUCACAGGAAAGACUUGCCAUUGUGACAGAGUUAUUACCUAGGGGAAGCCUUUUCAAAAAUUUGCACAGGAACAAUCAGACAUUAGACAUCAGAAGGCGCCUAAGGAUGGCUCUUGAUGUUGCUAGAGGAAUGAAUUAUCUUCAUCACAGAAAUCCACCAAUUGUGCAUAGAGACCUGAAGUCUUCUAACCUGCUUGUAGAUAAAAACUGGACUGUAAAGGUUGGAGACUUUGGCCUGUCUAGGUUGAAGGAUGCAACUUUAUUAACUACAAAAUCUGGGAGAGGCACCGUAAUGACAGCACUCACUUUUUCACUUUUUACAUACAAAACAUCUGACCUGAACACCUCAAUGGAUGGCCCCUGAAGUCCUAAGAAAUGAACCUUCAAAUGAGAAGUCUGAUGUGUACAGUUUUGGUGUCAUCCUCUGGGAACUAAUGACUCAAUCUAUUCCAUGGAAAAAUUUGAAUUCCUUACAGGUUGUUGGAGUCGUAGGCUUUAUGGAUAGACGACUAGACCUUCCAGAGGGGCUUGAUCCCCAUGUUGCAUCAAUCAUCGAUGACUGCUGGCGAAGUGAUCCAGAGCAACGCCCAUCAUUUGAGGAGCUGAUACAGAGAACGUUGUUCCUUGUCAACAGAGUAACAGCAGUGUCAAUUAGGAGAAUUUCAGAAUCCUGAGCUUGUUAUGGUUUUGGGUUUUGCUUUCUCAAAAUAUAUUAGUUAAAAACAUAUUAUGAGAAGUACAAGCAACAAAUUGAGUGGCAAACCGCAAAACAUUCUUCCUUCCAUGACGUGCUCCUUUUGUGAGGAAUGGCUAUUGAAUAUUGAAUAGAAGGCAGAACAAACUUCAUUUUUUGGGCGAGCAUUC